RNAcentral lists this ribosomal RNA (439 nucleotides) under uncultured bacterium. Its description in RNAcentral is "partial 16S ribosomal RNA". It matches the Rfam family "Bacterial small subunit ribosomal RNA", at positions 338 to 795 of the family's 1533-position model. The record is from RNAcentral.
CCUACGGGAGGCAGCAGUGGGGAAUAUUGCACAAUGGGCGAAAGCCUGAUGCAGCAACGCCGCGUGAGCGAUGAAGGCCUUCGGGUCGUAAAGCUCUGUCCUUAAGGAAGAUAAUGACGGUACUUGAGGAGGAAGCCCCGGCUAACUACGUGCCAGCAGCCGCGGUAAUACGGAGGGGGCUAGCGUUAUCCGGAUUUACUGGGCGUAAGGGGGGCGUAGGUGGUUUCUUAAGUCAGAGGUGAAAGGCUACGGCUCAACCGUAGUUAGCAAUUGACACUGGGGAACUUGAGUACAGUAGAGGAGAGUGGAAUUCCUAGUGUAGCGGUGAAAUGCGUAGAUAUUAGGAAGAACACCAGUUGCGAAGGCGGCUCUCUAAACUGUAACUGACACUGAGGCACGAAAGCGUGGGGAGCAAACAGGAUUAGAUACCCCUGUAGUC